RNAcentral lists this ribosomal RNA (240 nucleotides) under uncultured bacterium. RNAcentral describes it as "partial 16S ribosomal RNA". It matches the Rfam family "Bacterial small subunit ribosomal RNA", at positions 15 to 245 of the family's 1533-position model. The record is from RNAcentral.
GAUCAUGGCUCAGGAUGAACGCUAGCUACAGGCUUAACACAUGCAAGUCGCGGGGCAGCAUUUCAGUUUGCUUGCAAACUGGAGAUGGCGACCGGCGCACGGGUGAGUAACACGUAUCCAACCUGCCGAUAACUCGGGGAUAGCCUUUCGAAAGAAAGAUUAAUACCCGAUGGCAUAAUUAGACCGCAUGGUCUUAUUAUUAAAGAAUUUCGGUUAUCGAUGGGGAUGCGUUCCAUUAGG